GAAAUGCGAUAAGUAAUGUGAAUUGCAGAAUUCAGUGAAUCAUCGAAUCUUUGAACGCAUAUUGCGCUCCCUGGUAUUCCGGGGAGCAUGCCUGUUUCAGUAUCAGUUCUCCAAAGCAAACCUCCUUUCGGUGGCAAGCUGAUUUGAAUCUUCUCAGGAACCAUAUUUUUAUGUGGUGAUGGAGUGAUUUGAAAUUAAGUGUACAGCAGUAUGUUAUCUCAUACAAAUCGACCUUUGGUGUAAUAUGUAGCCUUAACAGGUCCUACUAUUUUAUUCGCCUCAGGAAGAGAGACAACUCUGGCCUGUCACCUUAAAUUAACUGUGUGCUUCGGCAAACAGAACCCUUGAUCUGAAAUCAGGUAGGAUUACCCGCUGAACUUAA
This 382-nucleotide unclassified non-coding RNA is filed under the name uncultured fungus. RNAcentral's name for it is "sequence contains ITS1". The stretch from base 1 to 105 matches the Rfam family "5.8S ribosomal RNA", at positions 50 to 154 of the family's 154-position model. Lineage: Eukaryota; Fungi. The record is from RNAcentral.